CCUAACGGGUGGCAGCAGUAGGGAAUAUUGCUCAAUGGGGGAAACCCUGAAGCAGCAACGCCGCGUGGAGGAUGAAGGUUUUCGGAUUGUAAACUCCUUUUGUUAGAGAAGAUAAUGACGGUAUCUAACGAAUAAGCACCGGCUAACUCCGUGCCAGCAGCCUCGGUAAUACGGAGGGUGCAGGCGUUACUCGGAAUCACUGGGCGUAAAGAGCGCGUAGGCGGGAUAGCAAGUCAGAUGUGAAAUCCUAUGGCUUAACCAUAGAACUGCAUUUGAAACUGUUAUUCUAGAGUAUGGGAGAGGUAGGUGGAAUGCUUGGUGUAGGGGUAAAAUCCGUAGAGAGGAAGAGGAAGACUCAUUGCGAAGGCGACCUGCUAGAACAUAACUGACGCUGAUGCGCGAAAGCGUGGGGAGCGAACAGGAUUAGAUACCCGGGUAGUC
This 441-nucleotide ribosomal RNA is filed under the name uncultured bacterium. RNAcentral describes it as "partial 16S ribosomal RNA". It matches the Rfam family "Bacterial small subunit ribosomal RNA", at positions 338 to 795 of the family's 1533-position model. The record is from RNAcentral.